GGAUAGAGGCGCGAAACAGCAAGAGUAUCCGGCGUCCACGGGCAGAGCACCCCGCCGGAGAAAGGGCGUUUCGCCGAAGGGCCGGACCUUUGCCUGGGGGCCGGUGGCCUGGGCCGUCGGGAGAAUAUCUCACGGACUGCCACAUCAUCUGUGUGGAGCGCUAUCGU
This 167-nucleotide non-coding RNA is filed under the name human gut metagenome. Its description in RNAcentral is "Lysine riboswitch". It matches the Rfam family "Lysine riboswitch aptamer". Rfam says of the family: Riboswitches are metabolite binding domains within certain messenger RNAs that serve as precision sensors for their corresponding targets. Allosteric rearrangement of mRNA structure is mediated by ligand binding, and this results in modulation of gene expression. The record is from RNAcentral.